GCCAGCGUGGCGUAGUGGUUUGAGUGUUGGACUGUGGCUCUAUAGACCAGGGUUUGACUCCCAGCUUGGAA
Molecule: transfer RNA, 71 nt
Filed under: Phrynosoma platyrhinos (Desert horned lizard)
Lineage: Eukaryota; Metazoa; Chordata; Lepidosauria; Squamata; Phrynosomatidae
Description: tRNA-OTHER
Source: RNAcentral